GUCCACGCCGUAACGAUGAGUGCUAGAUGUCACGGGCUUUGACUCCUGUGGUGUCGUAGCUAACGCGUUAAGCACUCCGCCUGGGAAGUACGGUCGCAAGACUAAACUCAAAGGAAUUGACGGGGCCCGCACAAGCGGUGGAGCAUGUGGUUUAAUUCGACGCAACGCGCAGAACCUUACCUGGGGCUUGAAAAGGGCGGAAUCCCGCAGAAACGUGGGAGUGCUCGCAAGAGAACCGUCAUUCAGGUGCUGCAUGGCUGUCGU
RNAcentral lists this ribosomal RNA (264 nucleotides) under uncultured bacterium. RNAcentral's name for it is "partial 16S ribosomal RNA". It matches the Rfam family "Bacterial small subunit ribosomal RNA", at positions 793 to 1055 of the family's 1533-position model. The record is from RNAcentral.